GACGAACGCUGGCGGCGUGCUUAACACAUGCAAGUCGAACGGUAAGGCCCUUCGGGGUACACGAGUGGCGAACGGGUGAGUAACACGUGGGUGAUCUGCCCUGCACUUCGGGAUAAGCCUGGGAAACUGGGUCUAAUACCGGAUAGGACCACUGCCUGCAUGGGUGGUGGUGGAAAGCUUUUGCGGGGUGGGAUGGGCCCGCGGCCUAUCAGCUUGCUGGUGGGGUGAUGGCCUACCAAGGCGACGACGGGUAGCCGGCCUGAGCGGGUGACCGGCCAAACUGGGGCUGAGAGACGGCCCAGACUCCUACGGGAGGCAGCAGUGGGGAAUAUUGCACAAUGGGCGCAAGCCUGAUGCAGCGAGGCAGCGUGAGGGAUGACGGCCUUCGGGUUGUAACCCUCUUUCAGCACCGACGAAGCGCAAGUGACGGUAGGUGCAGAAGAAGGACCGGCCAACUACGUGCCAGCAGCCGCCGUAA
This 478-nucleotide ribosomal RNA is filed under the name uncultured bacterium. RNAcentral describes it as "partial 16S ribosomal RNA". It matches the Rfam family "Bacterial small subunit ribosomal RNA", at positions 28 to 523 of the family's 1533-position model. The record is from RNAcentral.